CUCCAGACUCCUACGGGAGGCAGCAGUGGGGGAUAUUGCACAAUGGGGGGAACCCUGAUGCAGCGACGCCGCGUGGGUGAAGAAGCGCCUCGGCGCGUAAAGCCCUAUCGGCAGGGAAGAAGGAGGACGGUACCUGACUAAGAAGCCCCGGCUAACUACGUGCCAGCAGCCGCGGUAAUACGUAGGGGGCAAGCGUUAUCCGGAUUUACUGGGUGUAAAGGGGGCGCAGACGGCAGCGCAAGCCAGGAGUGAAAGCCCGGGGCCCAACCCCGGGACUGCUCUUGGAACUGCGCGGCUGGAGUGCAGGAGGGGCAGGCGGAAUUCCUGGUGUAGCGGUGAAAUGCGUAGAUAUCAGGAGGAACACCGGUGGCGAAGGCGGCCUGCUGGACAGAGACUGACGUUGAGGCUCGAAAGCGUGGGGAGCAAACAGGAUUAGAUACCCUAGUA
This 447-nucleotide ribosomal RNA is filed under the name uncultured bacterium. Its description in RNAcentral is "partial 16S ribosomal RNA". It matches the Rfam family "Bacterial small subunit ribosomal RNA", at positions 329 to 792 of the family's 1533-position model. The record is from RNAcentral.